GCCAGGCGUUGUGGUGGGCGCCUGUAGUCACAGCUACUUGGGAGGCUGAGGCAGGAGACUCGCUUGAGCCCAGGAGUUGGAGGUUGCUGUGAGCGUGAUGCCAUGGCACUCUACCCAGGGGGAUAGCUUGAGGCUCUGUCUCAAAACAAAACAAAACAAAAAAAGACAGAGUCUCAAGCUGUUGCCCUGGGUAGAGUGUUGGUGUCACAGUUCACAGCAACCUCAAACUCUUGGUUGUAAGUGAUUCUCCUGC
Molecule: small RNA, 253 nt
Filed under: Otolemur garnettii (small-eared galago)
Lineage: Eukaryota; Metazoa; Chordata; Mammalia; Primates; Galagidae
Description: Metazoan signal recognition particle RNA (ENSOGAG00000029284.1)
Source: RNAcentral